This 138-nucleotide ribosomal RNA is filed under the name Triticum aestivum (bread wheat). RNAcentral describes it as "partial small subunit ribosomal RNA". The record is from RNAcentral. Lineage: Eukaryota; Viridiplantae; Streptophyta; Magnoliopsida; Poales; Poaceae.
AUGUUUUGCUGCUUCAAUAUGCUGAUUUUUUCUACGGCCAUUGUUGUAUAUGCUCAUGUUUUUUUUAAAAAGCUGUUGUGUUUGCUGACUGCUCGCGGGAGGGGUUCCUCGCAGGAUCAAAAAACCCGGCUGGUUUAG